This 301-nucleotide ribosomal RNA is filed under the name uncultured bacterium. RNAcentral describes it as "partial 16S ribosomal RNA". It matches the Rfam family "Bacterial small subunit ribosomal RNA", at positions 509 to 807 of the family's 1533-position model. The record is from RNAcentral.
CAGUAGCCGCGGUAAUACAGAGGGUGCGAGCGUUAAUCGGAUUUACUGGGCGUAAAGCGUGCGUAGGCGGCUUUUUAAGUCGGAUGUGAAAUCCCUGAGCUUAACUUAGGAAUUGCAUUCGAUACUGGGAAGCUAGAGUAUGGGAGAGGAUGGUAGAAUUCCAGGUGUAGCGGUGAAAUGCGUAGAGAUCUGGAGGAAUACCGAUGGCGAAGGCAGCCAUCUGGCCUAAUAAUGAAGCUGAGGUACGAAAGCAUGGGGAGCAAACAGGAUUAGAUACCCCCGUAGUCCCUGUCUCUUAUAC